UGGGGAAUUUUGGACAAUGGGGGAAACCCUGAUCCAGCCAUCCCGCGUGUGCGAUGAAGGCCUUCGGGUUGUAAAGCACUUUUGGCAGGAAAGAAACGUCGCGGGUUAAUACCCCGCGAAACUGACGGUACCUGCAGAAUAAGCACCGGCUAACUACGUGCCAGCAGCCGCGGUAAUACGUAGGGUGCAAGCGUUAAUCGGAAUUACUGGGCGUAAAGCGUGCGCAGGCGGUUCGGAAAGAAAGAUGUGAAAUCCCAGAGCUUAACUUUGGAACUGCAUUUUUAACUACCGGGCUAGAGUGUGUCAGAGGGAGGUGGAAUUCCGCGUGUAGCAGUGAAAUGCGUAGAUAUGCGGAGGAACACCGAUGGCGAAGGCAGCCUCCUGGGAUAACACUGACGCUCAUGCACGAAAGCGUGGGGAGCAAACAGGAUUAGAUACCCUGGUAGUCCACGCCCUAAACGAUGUCAACUAGCUGUUGGGGCCUUCGGGCCUUGGUAGCGCAGCUAACGCGUGAAGUUGACCGCCUGGGGAGUACGGUCGCAGGAUUAAAACUUAAAUGAAUUGACGGGGUCAUAGCUG
RNAcentral lists this ribosomal RNA (579 nucleotides) under uncultured bacterium. RNAcentral's name for it is "partial 16S ribosomal RNA". It matches the Rfam family "Bacterial small subunit ribosomal RNA", at positions 355 to 932 of the family's 1533-position model. The record is from RNAcentral.